GUGGCAUGCACUUCGGCAGCACAUAAACUAAAAUGCAAACAAAACAGAGAAGACUAGCGUGACCUCUGUGCAAGGAUGACAUGCAAAUAUCGGUAAGCAUUCCAGUUUUUA
This 111-nucleotide small nuclear RNA is filed under the name Castor canadensis (American beaver). The record is from RNAcentral. Lineage: Eukaryota; Metazoa; Chordata; Mammalia; Rodentia; Castoridae.